This 256-nucleotide ribosomal RNA is filed under the name Pinna nobilis. RNAcentral describes it as "partial 18S ribosomal RNA". It matches the Rfam family "Eukaryotic small subunit ribosomal RNA", at positions 115 to 366 of the family's 1831-position model. The record is from RNAcentral. Lineage: Eukaryota; Metazoa; Mollusca; Bivalvia; Pterioida; Pinnidae.
GGUUCUUAGAUCGUACAAUCCUACUUGGAAAACUGUGGUAAUUCUAGAGCUAAUACAUGCAACACAGCUCCGACCUUGCGGGAGGAGCGCUUUUAUUUGAUCAAAACCAAUCGGUCGCAAGGCCGUCUUCUUGGUGAAUCUGGAUAACUUUGUGCUGAUCGCACGGGCUUGCCCCGGCGACGUAUCUUUCAAAUGUCUGCCCUAUCAACUUUCGAUGGUACGUGAUAUGCCUACCAUGGUUGUAACGGGUAACGAA